GACGAACGCUGGCGGCGUGCUUGACACAUGCAAGUCGAACGGAAAGGCCCUUCGGGGUACUCGAGUGGCGAACGGGUGAGUAACACGUGGGUGAUCUGCCCUGCACUUUGGGAUAAGCCUGGGAAACUGGGUCUAAUACCGAAUAGGACCACGCGCUUCAUGGUGUGUGGUGGAAAGCUUUUGCGGUGUGGGAUGGGCCCGCGGCCUAUCAGCUUGUUGGUGGGGUAAUGGCCUACCAAGGCGACGACGGGUAGCCGGCCUGAGAGGGUGACCGGCCACACUGGGACUGAGAUACGGCCCAGACUCCUACGGGAGGCAGCAGUGGGGAAUAUUGCACAAUGGGCGCAAGCCUGAUGCAGCGACGCCGCGUGAGGGAUGACGGCCUUCGGGUUGUAAACCUCUUUCAAUAGGGACGAAGCGCAAGUGACGGUACCUAUAGAAGAAGCACCGGCCAACUACGUG
RNAcentral lists this ribosomal RNA (462 nucleotides) under uncultured bacterium. RNAcentral's name for it is "partial 16S ribosomal RNA". It matches the Rfam family "Bacterial small subunit ribosomal RNA", at positions 28 to 507 of the family's 1533-position model. The record is from RNAcentral.